RNAcentral lists this ribosomal RNA (543 nucleotides) under uncultured Geobacteraceae bacterium. Its description in RNAcentral is "bacterial SSU rRNA". It matches the Rfam family "Bacterial small subunit ribosomal RNA", at positions 1 to 526 of the family's 1533-position model. The record is from RNAcentral. Lineage: Bacteria; Pseudomonadati; Thermodesulfobacteriota; Desulfuromonadia; Geobacterales; Geobacteraceae.
UUAGAGUUUGAUCCUGGCUCAGAACGAACGCUGGCGGCGUGCCUAACACAUGCAAGUCGAACGUGAUCCAGAGCUUGCUCUGGUGAAAGUGGCGCACGGGUGAGUAACGCGUGGAUAACCUACCCUGGUAUCCGGGAUAACAUUCCGAAAGGGGUGCUAAUACCGGAUAAGCCCACGGGCUCUUUGGAGCUUGCGGGAAAAGGUGGCCUCUAUUUAUAAGCUACUGUAUCAGGAUGGGUCCGCGUACCAUUAGCUAGUUGGCGGUGUAACGGACCACCAAGGCGACGAUGGUUAGCUGGUCUGAGAGGAUGAUCAGCCACACUGGAACUGAGACACGGUCCAGACUCCUACGGGAGGCAGCAGUGGGGAAUUUUGCGCAAUGGGGGAAACCCUGACGCAGCAACGCCGCGUGAGUGAUGAAGGCCUUUGGGUCGUAAAGCUCUGUCAGAGGGGAAGAAAUGAUAUAGUGCUAAUACCACUUUAUCUUGACGGUACCCUCAAAGGAAGCACCGGCUAGCUCCGUGCCAGCAGCCGCGGUAAUAC